UUAAUUGAAGAGUUUGAUCAUGGCUCAGAUUGAACGCUGGCGGCAGGCCUAACACAUGCAAGUCGAGCGGUAACACAAGGGAGCUUGCUCCUGAGGUGACGAGCGGCGGACGGGUGAGUAAGGCUUGGGUAUCUGCCCAGUCGUGGGGGAUAACCAUUGGAAACGAUGGCUAAUACCGCAUACGCCCUACGGGGGAAAGGAGGGGAUCUUCGGACCUUUCGCGAUUGGAUGAGCCCAAGUGAGAUUAGCUAGUUGGUGAGG
RNAcentral lists this ribosomal RNA (261 nucleotides) under Oceanisphaera arctica. Its description in RNAcentral is "partial 16S ribosomal RNA". It matches the Rfam family "Bacterial small subunit ribosomal RNA", at positions 1 to 257 of the family's 1533-position model. The record is from RNAcentral. Lineage: Bacteria; Pseudomonadati; Pseudomonadota; Gammaproteobacteria; Aeromonadales; Aeromonadaceae.